This 834-nucleotide long non-coding RNA is filed under the name Felis catus (domestic cat). RNAcentral's name for it is "lncRNA (ENSFCAG00000049904.1)". The record is from RNAcentral. Lineage: Eukaryota; Metazoa; Chordata; Mammalia; Carnivora; Felidae.
GACAGCUGAAAAUAUGCAGGAAGCUACACAGUUUUAAACAAUUCUUUUGGGGGUUAUGUAAGCAACAUACUUACAGAUUCCUGGGCUAAGAUAAUGCAUUUCAAGAAAAGAAGGCCCUCUCUUUGCAUCUCUUUGGUCUCUUUUCUUCUUGGAAGCCAAUGGCUAAUGACAGAUUUCCACUGUCACACAGCCAUGAGCACAUCAGGAGGACUCAAGAAUCAUAUAAAGCUGCAACUGCUUCUUGCAACUUUUCUCCCUGCGGUUUACAAACCCCACUCCUCGGGUUCCACAGACCCUCCCUCCGGCUCACUGACGGAGUCCGGGACUCUUGGGAGAUGAUGACAAUCAGCUGUCGUGGUUUAGACGGCUCCAUGUCUCAAAUCUCAAGCCCUCACCUCACUCUUAACUCCAGACCUACAUUUCCAACUCUUCACUGAGCAUAUUCUGUUUGAAAACCCACUGUAAAGUCAAACUCAAGAUGUCAGAGAUGGAAUUGCUAUCUCUUCCCUUUAAUAUUUGCUGCAUGGGUUGUCUACCUGCUUAAGCUUCCUGUGGUGCUAUUUUGAUCCUUUCACACUUACUUGCUCAAAAGCCUUUGGUGGGGGGUGCCUGGGUGACUCAGUUGGUUGAGUGUCCAACUUCGGCUCAGGUCAUGGUCUUGUGGUUUUGGGGUUUGAUCCCCACGACAGGCUCUAUGCUGACAGCUCAGAGCCUGGACCCUGCUUCAGAUUCUGUGUUUCCCUCUCUCUCUGCCCUUCCCCUGCACAUGCUCUGUCUCUCUCCUUCUCUCUCUCUCUCUCAAAAAUAAAUAAACAUUUAAAAAAAAAGCCUUCA